GCUCUGCAGUUUCCUUCCCUAUCAGAUCUGAACUCGGUUUGGGUGGUGACAAGAGAAGGAAAAACACCACUGAAACAGCUUCAGCGCUUUUUGCUGCACCUGGGCUAGUUUCAAACAAGU
RNAcentral lists this small nucleolar RNA (120 nucleotides) under Echinops telfairi (small Madagascar hedgehog). Its description in RNAcentral is "Small nucleolar RNA SNORA61 (ENSETEG00000024099.1)". The record is from RNAcentral. Lineage: Eukaryota; Metazoa; Chordata; Mammalia; Afrosoricida; Tenrecidae.